Hipposideros armiger (great roundleaf bat) is the source of this 1523-nucleotide long non-coding RNA. RefSeq lists it as uncharacterized. The transcript has 3 exons. Lineage: Eukaryota; Metazoa; Chordata; Mammalia; Chiroptera; Hipposideridae. The record is from RefSeq and is a predicted model, not a curated record.
GAGUGCUCUUUGAGAGGUUUUGCUAUGUGAGCUAGUUAAGACUCCUCGAAAACGCGUCAUCACUCUCCUAACUCGUGGACGUUCUCCCUGUCGUCUCUGAGCCUGGAGCCCCAAAUACAUCCAGAACAGUUCGUACCCGGCCUUUUCACGUAACUCGGCCGAGAUUGUCUUUACCUGAGCUUUCCAUCAGGCCCAGAUCUUCAGAUUCUGGGGUCCCCAGUCAGCUGGGAGAGGAGUUAACUUUCUUUGCACACUCCUGACGUGUACACUCAACCCCAGUCUGAAAAUGGGUGCCCUACCGGUGUCCACGCACUCCGAGGUCGGUCUGGUUACCUUAUAACGCUUCUGCGUUUAUUCCAGACCUUCCAUCGUCUAACAUUGUUUUCGCUUGGAAAAAACCAUUGGACUCCCCUCAGUAGACUAGUCUCCUUGGAGACUUGGCGAUGCAGGGUGGCCCCUGGGCCUGACUGAAUUAGGAAAAUGGAAACUUGAGCCUUCCUUCAAAUUCUACUCCCAACUUGAGCUAUUAGUGAGUGGUCCUGCUAAAGAUGUACUAUGUAAAGUGCAUUUUGUGGAAGGGAAUGUCCAUUCCAUUUAGAUCCCAGCUUCUGCUGUAGGUGCUAUCCGUUUGUGAAUUUAGGAUACCAAAAGAAAAAAAUCUUUAUGAAAGAAGACAAGAAUUCCUAGCCACUUUUUGCACACAGGUUUCAUUUUCCUGAGCAUUCCAAGUUUGAGCCACUGACAGCAAGUGCUUGUGCUCUUAGGCUCAUCAUAAAAUUGAGAUAAAAUGGAAAGAUAGAGAAACAUCAUCAGAAGUAAGUCUCUAAUUUUUAAAAAAUUAACUCAUUUUAACAAAUCCACACAACACAAAAGAAUAAAAGACAAAUGUUUAGUUUCCCCCUCUACUACCCCAUGUGCCUGAAGGUAAUCAUUUUUAUGAAUUUGGUAUAUAUACCUCCAGACUUUUUCUAUGUUCAUACAAAAAAUUUUUUUCUGUCAGAACAUAUUUAUUGAACAGCUACAGUGCACCACACAAUGUAUUUUAGACAUCUAAGUCAGUUCAUAUCUUAAAAAUUGUUUCAUAGUAUUCCAACUUGUGUUUGUACUUCAAUCUGUCUAGACCCAUCCUGAUGAACAUUUAGCUUAUUUUUGUGUAUGGUGAGAAGUAGUGAGAAAUGCCAUACUUAAAAGGGACCAAUAAUGCAGUGGCAGAGAUACUGGCCUAGAAGUCAGACAUCAGCGAUCCAGGCAGGCUUGCUCCUGUGUCACCUUUGUAAUAUUGGACAAAUGAAUUCACUCUCUCUGGCCCAAGAGUCCUCAUUUGACAAUGAGGAUGAAUAAAUAAAUACCUUUUGGGGCUAGUUUCUAGCACUACUGUGAGGAACAAGUGGAAAUCACAGAUGAGAAGGCUUUGAGAAGAAAAAUAAAACCUUUUGCAAAUCUUCUAAGUUAUCAUUAAUACAGAUUUUUAGUUUAUGCGAAUUAAAUCUGAGCCAUCCUGUUACCUGUUGGCAGCUCAGCAG